AGGUGAUGCCUCCUUACCUUUAUCAAUGGAGGCACUCGGCUAUGCUGUGGGUUGUUCUUGACCUUAAACACGAUGUUGUUGGUGGUAUGGCGUGAGGGUGGGUUGGAUGCCCG
This is a regulatory RNA element of 113 nucleotides. It matches the Rfam family "epsC RNA". The record is from Rfam.